CGGGAGCGGGGGGUCCCACCAGCGCGGUGUCCAGUCACGGUCGCCACCACGUCGCGCUUGAGCCAAUGGCGAGACCGACCUCGGCCGGA
This 89-nucleotide non-coding RNA is filed under the name unclassified sequences. Its description in RNAcentral is "c-di-GMP sequence". It matches the Rfam family "c-di-GMP-II-GAG riboswitch aptamer". The record is from Rfam by way of RNAcentral.